RNAcentral lists this ribosomal RNA (450 nucleotides) under uncultured bacterium. RNAcentral's name for it is "partial 16S ribosomal RNA". It matches the Rfam family "Bacterial small subunit ribosomal RNA", at positions 354 to 796 of the family's 1533-position model. The record is from RNAcentral.
GUGGGGAAUCUUCCGCAAUGGACGAAAGUCUGACGGAGCAACGCCGCGUGAGUGAUGAAGGUCUUCGGAUUGUAAAGCUCUGUUAAUCGGGACGAAAGAGCCUAGUGUGAAUAAUGCUAGGAAGUGACGGUACCGGAAUAGAAAGCCACGGCUAACUACGUGCCAGCAGCCGCGGUAAUACGUAGGUGGCAAGCGUUGUCCGGAAUUAUUGGGCGUAAAGCGCGCGCAGGCGGAUCUGCCAGUCUGUCUUAAAAGUUCGGGGCUUAACCCCGUGAUGGGAUGGGAACUACAGAUCUAGAGUAUCGGAGAGGAAAGUGGAAUUCCUAGUGUAGCGGUGAAAUGCGUAGAUAUUAGGAAGAACACCAGUGGCGAAGGCGACUUUCUGGACGAAAACUGACGCUGAGGCGCGAAAGCCAGGGGAGCGAACGGGAUUAGAAACCCCAGUAGUCC